RNAcentral lists this ribosomal RNA (504 nucleotides) under uncultured bacterium. Its description in RNAcentral is "partial 16S ribosomal RNA". It matches the Rfam family "Bacterial small subunit ribosomal RNA", at positions 28 to 506 of the family's 1533-position model. The record is from RNAcentral.
GACGAACGCUGGCGGCGUGCCUAAUACAUGCAAGUAGAACGCACAGUUUAUACCGUAGCUUGCUACACCAUAGACUGUGAGUUGCGAACGGGUGUGUAACGCGUAGGUAACCUGCCUGGUAGCGGGGGAUAACUAUUGGAAACGAUAGCUAAUACCGCAUAAUAUUAAUUAUUGCAUGAUAAUUGAUUGAAAGAUGCAACUGCAUCACUACCAGAUGGACCUGCAUUGUAUUAGCUAGUAGGUGAGGUAACGGCUCACCUAGGCGACGAUACAUAGCCGACCUGAGAGGGUGAUCGGCCACACUGGGACUGAGACACGGCCCAGACUCCUACGGGAGGCAGCAGUAGGGAAUCUUCGGCAAUGGACGAAAGUCUGACCGAGCAACGCCGCGUGAGUGAAGAAGGUUUUCGGAUCGUAAAGCUCUGUUGUAAGAGAAGAACGGGUGUGAGAGUGGAAAGUUCACACUGUGACGGUAUCUUACCAGAAAGGGACGGCUAACUACGU